Molecule: ribosomal RNA, 200 nt
Filed under: uncultured bacterium
Lineage: Bacteria
Description: partial 16S ribosomal RNA
Rfam family: Bacterial small subunit ribosomal RNA
Source: RNAcentral
ACGCUCGACACCUACGAGAGGCAGCAGUCGGGAAUAUUGCGCAAUGGAGGAAACUCUGACGCAGUGACGCCGCGUGCAGGAAGAAGGUUUUCGGAUUGUAAACUGCUUUAGACAGGGAAGAAGAAGUGACAGUACCUGUAGAAUAAGCUCCGGCUAACUACGUGCCAGCAGCCGCGGUAAUCUGAGCGGGCUGGCAAGGC